CGUGUCAGAAAAUUACACUAUGACAGAAACAACUACCAUCUCUGGACAAACAUCAUCUGGAUUUUCAUUUCAUGUGCCUAUCAUGGUCAUAGUGUUGAUUUUGCUGAUUAUUGGACUGUUGCUGUAUGGAGCAUAUAAGUGCUUUUUCUGGGUUAUGUACAAGCGGGCACAGAUAAUGGGGUUGCCAGCCCAAGCACUCUUGUCACGUGUAAAGGUGUAAAAAUCAUUGUACAAACUUGACUAAAUAAAGAUUAUUUUAUUGAAAAAGAGAUGUAUGAUAUCUUGUUUGUUGUCAUCACGUAACAGGUCAUAACACACGCAAUUAGAACAUCAUCAGACAUUGUAUGUGUUUUGGAUUGGAAGGUUAUGGUUUUGUUCUUGUGGUAUAUACAUUUGGUAUUUUUUAUCUGUUCAAUCAGAUAGGAGAUUGGGUCACUAGACAGCAGGACAGUGUUAGAUACCACGGUUUGGCUGGCACAGAGCAAUCCCUGGUUCAAUGAAGAGAUAAAGUUUUGGAAGGCCAGUGUCUUGUCUCCACUCAACAUAUAAAUAGGCCAUUGCAUUCCAGUCUUGUCUCUGUAGGAGGCAAACAGGGUUGGUAGUUUAAUGUUGUGGGAAAUAAAAGUUGCUAUGGCUACAGCUGAGUCUUGAUUGCUAUUUCCCUCUAUUAUACACCUGAUUUCUUGAAUCCAGGGGUGUUGAAACAAUAUUCCCUCCAACAGAGCAGUGGCACAUGAGGCUAUGUUGUGAGCAGCAGUUCCAGUGAGGUUGUUCAGGAAGAAAUGUUCCAACCCUAAGAUAAUACACUUUUUAGUGUGUUUACAGUGACUCAUGGCAACUAUACCAGUUCCAGAGGCGUGGACGUUGUUUCCAUAGGCGGGGUCAAUAUACACAAAAAGUGUAUUUUCUGUAGUUGGGGCCCCCUGGCCCGCAGUGUCACACCUAUAAAAGUCUAGCCGGGUCAGACUGGACUCGUGUAUCAUACUGUUCCCAGAGACUUCCGUGUGUGAUUGCAUAUUGCCCAUUAAUUCUGUGGCAAAUGAUCCCUCUAGCAGUAAAUUGGUGGUACACUUUAUAUUAUCAUUGAUGGUGAUAAAUUCUGGAACAUACAGGCGAUAGCAAGGGCAGGCAGUGAUUGCGCUCUGUUUGUUGAAGUCUUCCAUAUGUUCGCUACAGACAUAGCUGACAACGUUCACCAUCUUCUCAUUGGCAUCUUUGAGGUUAUACAAAAAACUUGUUGUCUUCUCUCCUGAAUUUACAGAGGAGAUAAAAAAGAUCUUGGCAUCCUUCUGUAACAUAAACCCCAAGAUUGCUGGAAGUGCUUCCUUCUUUAUGAAAUUUGCUUCAUCAACAAACAGUAGAUUAAAUGUCUGCCCCCGGAUGCUCUGUGAAUAAAUCAAAGAAUCUGGUUACUGAUCAGGAUCUCCUGGAUGUGGUGAAUUUUUUUAACAGACCAUUACAUGCUCUCAUUGCUGAGGUGUCAAAAACCACUUCUGAUUUGGAACUUGUCAGGUCAACCACCCAAGGUAUUGAAAAUAUCUGUCUCCUGCUAGACUUGGUAGGAACAGAAUGUAUAAAAGAUGCAAGCGCGGCCAAGACAAGUGUAUGAUGCGGCCUCUUUCUAACCCUUUAACAGAGGCCUAUAACGUGCAAAAUUUGUACCAGUGUCUAAAUUGUGAUGAUUAUCACUUGUGUAAUGGUUCUCUCAACUGUGAUCCUCUGGUGGAUCGAGAGGGAAUUGUGUGCACAGUCACUGGAAAGUAUAUCCAGUGUAAUGUCAGGGAAUCACCCAUGUGUGGGGCAGCGUGUCUGGACGUGGACAUUCACCCAGAGGACAAUACAGACUGCAUUCUGCGGGCACUGUUUGGUGACAUUGUAGAUAUUAUUAAUAAAUUGGAUGAUAUUGCUGAAAUUAAAGAUAAGAUCCUCGCUGGAGACUCCCUAAAUGAGCACAUCAAGAAGAAAAUUGAGUGUACCUUUCCAAUGUGCGCCAACAUCAUUAAUUGUAAUAGCCAAGGCUAUUCCAUACUUUGUAGCAUGUUUGUCCAUAUUAUUAUGUCAAUCUAUGCCAACAAAACCAUAUAUGGCCACAUGCUAUUUAAAUGCACCAGAAAUAAAAAGUAUGACACCAUUGCCAAGAAAAUUAGAGAGAAAUGGAUGUAUUUAGAAUAAAUAAAAAAAGUGUUCCUUUACAACAA
This 2198-nucleotide non-coding RNA is filed under the name synthetic construct. The record is from RNAcentral.